CACGUGAGGGGCGAGCGUUGUUCGGAAUUAUUGGGCGUAAAGGGCGCGUAGGCGGUUUUACAAGUCUGGUGUGAAAUAUCUCAGCUCAACUGAGGGGCCGCGCUGGAAACUGUAAGACUAGAAUCUAGGAGGGGAAGCUGGAAUUCCUGGUGUAGGGGUGAAAUCUGUAGAUAUCAGGAAGAACACCGGUGGCGAAGGCGAGCUUCUGGCCAUAGAUUGACGCUGAGGCGCGAAAGCGUGGGGAGCGAACAGGAUUAGAUACCCUGGUAGUCCACGCUGUAAACGAUGUGCACUAGGUGUUGGGGAAAGGAUCUUCAGUACCGAAGCAAACGCGAUAAGUGCACCGCCUGGGGAGUAUGCCGGCAACGGUGAAACUCAAAGGAAUUGACGGGGGCCCGCACAAGCGGUGGAGCAUGUGGUUUAAUUCGAUGAUACGCGAGGAACCUUACCAGGGCUUGACAUAAUGAUGCCGACAAUAGAGAUAUUGUUUUCCCUUCGGGGACGUUAUUACAGGUGCUGCAUGGUUGUCGUCAGCUCGUGCUGUGAAGUGUUGGGUUAAGUCCCGCAACGAGCGCAACCCCUGCUGUCUGUUGCCAACAGGUAAAGCUGGGAACUCAGGCGGUACUGCCGGUGACAAACCGGAGGAAGGUGGGGACGACGUCAAAUCAUCAUGGCCCUUAUGUCCUGGGCUACACACGUGCUACAAUGGCCGGUACAGAGUGAAGCGAAGCCGCGAGGUGGAGCGAAUCGCAGAAAGCCGGUCUCAGUACAGAUUGAAGUCUGAAACUCGACUUCAUGAAGGUGGAAUCGCUAGUAAUCGCGCAUCAGCAUGGCGCGGUGAAUACGUUCCCGGGCC
RNAcentral lists this ribosomal RNA (856 nucleotides) under uncultured bacterium. RNAcentral describes it as "bacterial SSU rRNA". It matches the Rfam family "Bacterial small subunit ribosomal RNA", at positions 524 to 1380 of the family's 1533-position model. The record is from RNAcentral.